UGUUGUCACAGGCAGAGGGAGGGACCAGCAGGGACUGGGCCUGAGAGCAGUGACAGAGGCCCAGGCAGGGCAGGUGUGGGCAGAGCUGGUGUGCAGGCACAGAGGAGCUGGAGAGAGGCCACUGAGAGCGGGCCUGGCCAUGUGGAGUGCCCUGUGCGUGGGCUUCUUGCCCAUUGUAGCAGUCACUGGCCAGCUGACCUUGGAGCAGCACCCCAGGGAAGUGACCGUGCGAGAGGGACAUGAAUUCACCUUCCACUGCAGCAUGAAGGGAGGUGAUAUGAACUACUACAACAUGUACUGGUACCGUCAGGGCCUACGGGGCAUGGAAUGGAUUUCCAGGGAAAAUUCUGUCUAUGGAGAAGUUUUCCAAGAUCGCUUUAAGGGAAGGAAGGACGGCUCCCAGAACAGCUAUACACUGCAGAUCCUGGCAGCAGAGCGAGGUGAUACAGCAACGUAUUACUGUGGAUCGUGGAGCACCCUGAAGCAGCUCUGCAGCAGACUGAACCAAAAUCCACCAGCUGGGCAAGACAGAUCUCUCAGCAUUUCUUUCUGGCAGCUGCUCCCCAGGGCUCCUGUCAGGCAAUGGCAGGUGCAGGAAACGUCCCUCUGGCUGGGUGACACUAAAAGGCACUGCAGGGAGGGCUGCUGGAAGUGCUGGUGCCAUUGAUGGUGCAGGAGGAUCUGUCCUGAGAACUGCAGAGGCUGCAGUUUGGGGAAGUGCAGGUUUGGUGCACGUUGCCUGGUCUCCUGUCCAGCACAGCCUCAUUUCUCCUCAGUGCCUUGGCUGCAGAGCCAUGGGAUGAUGUGGAUGUGUUGCUGGAACUUCCAGAGAGCUGUGGUGGGUCCAGCCAGGCUGUUUAGGAAAGCCAGAUCAGCAGGGAUGACAUUGCUCUAAAGGGUGGCUGCUACAGAGCUCCUGAUCCGGAAGAAGGAUUUGAGAAUCUGUGGUGAGUUGACUUUGGUUGUCCUUCAGGGGCUCAGCAAGCUGCUGUUUCAGUGCCCCUGCUCCUCAAUUAGACAGGGGUAAAAUAAUGGAAUUAAGGCCUCUGGUUUGAGAUAAGGACAUGUCGCAGAAGUGCUACCAUGGGCCAAUACGUGGACUUGGAUAAAUGAAUUUUGUUUUUUGAAAAUCAUAUCAGAGUAGGAUAAUGAGAAAAAAAGGACACAUCUAAAAACAUUCAUCUACCCAAUCAUUGCACAGCAAUGGGGAAUGCAACCAUCGGUUCAUAACCCAUUUUCUCUGCCACUUCUUCCUUCUCAUGCCCUUCUCCUUCUCCAGAGUGUGGACUCCAUGCUAGAGGAGACAUUUCUCCAGGAAUUUUUCAACUUUGUUUCUUUGCAUUGACUGCAGCUCUUCACAACCUCCUCCAGUGUGGGUCUGUAGUUUGCCAUGCCAUCCUUCAGGAACAGACUGCUUCAGGGUGGAUCCCUGCAGGUUCUCCCAGAGAAGCUGCUAUGACAUGGGCUACUUCUUCCAUGACACGACAGUUCCUGUCAGAAACAGGCUCCAACCUGAGCUCUGCAUGGAGUCUCAGACCUGCUCAGGACAUGUCUCGUUGCUUCUGUGUGGGAAACUCUUUGGGCUGUAGGGCCAAUAUCUGCUCCACUAUCACUUGUCAUCACCUGCACCAUCCUGGUCUUCACCGUGCACAUCAAGGGGAGUCUCUGCUCUGGCAUCUAGAGCACCUCCCAGCCCCCUACCUCAUGGACACUCAGCACAGAUUUGGGAAGUGGGAACCUUGCUUAGCCACGUUUACAGCAUCCUACAGUGAGGCAAAGAGCCUUGGUGGGUGAGAAGAAGGUGGAUGUUGUGUAUUCUGCAUUGAGUUGUGCUCACAGCAGUGACUCCUCUGAAACUUUGUGGACAAAAUCCAUUCUUAUGGAAUAGAAAACAGCACAGUUAUAGGUUUCGUUCAGGAAUAGAUAUUGUGUUCUCCAUCCUCUCCCCCUGAUCUCUGGGAACUGAAAUUGCUGAAGGCUGAUGUGGCUGCUGAAGCCUGAGGUGAAUAAAGCAUUCAGGACCUCA
Long non-coding RNA from Haemorhous mexicanus (house finch), 2026 nucleotides. RefSeq lists it as uncharacterized. The transcript has 2 exons. NCBI's taxonomy places the organism in Eukaryota, Metazoa, Chordata, Aves, Passeriformes, Fringillidae. The record is from RefSeq and is a predicted model, not a curated record.